GGGCCCGCACAAGCAGCGGAGCGUGUGGUUUAAUUCGACGCAACGCGCAGAACCUUACCAGGGCUUGACAUGCAGCUGCAAGGCCUAGAGAUAGGUCCCUCCCGCAAGGGACGGCUGCACAGAUGCUGCAUGGCUGUCGUCAGCUCGUGCCGUGAGGUGUUGGGUUAAGUCCCGCAACGAGCGCAACCCUCGUCGCCAGUUGUACUUCUCUGGCGAGACUGCCGAGACAAACUCGGAGGAAGGUGGGGAUGAUGUCAAGUCAUCACGGCUCUUACGUCCUGGGCUACACACACGCUACAAUGGGCGGGAACAAUGGGUUGCGAAGGGGCGACCCGGAGCCAAUCCCAACAAAACCGCCCUCAGUUCAGAUUGCAGGCUGCAACUCGCCUGCAUGAAGACGGAGUUGCUAGUAACCGCAGGUCAGCACUACUGCGGUGAAUACGUUCCCGGGCCUU
This 455-nucleotide ribosomal RNA is filed under the name uncultured bacterium. Its description in RNAcentral is "bacterial SSU rRNA". It matches the Rfam family "Bacterial small subunit ribosomal RNA", at positions 917 to 1382 of the family's 1533-position model. The record is from RNAcentral.